UUUGAAGACGCAAAAUAAUUUUCUUUUUAAAAUUUUAUUUUAAAAUAUAUUUGUAAACUGUAAUUUGUUUCAUAGAUUUUAUCUUUAUUUAUAAUAUAAUUGUAUUAAUAUAAUUGCGUUGAUUAUUUAUAUUUUUGUUUUUAAAUGAUUAUCUUUGUUUAUAAAAUAAUAAUAGAUUUCUAAUACGUCUACACAGAGUUAGAGUAACAUUACAUCAUCAUGUUUUAAAAGGUUUCAAAACUUA
RNAcentral lists this long non-coding RNA (244 nucleotides) under Brassica rapa (field mustard). Its description in RNAcentral is "long non-coding RNA (BRAP_LNC005802)". The record is from RNAcentral. Lineage: Eukaryota; Viridiplantae; Streptophyta; Magnoliopsida; Brassicales; Brassicaceae.